GGCGCUUGUUCUUGCCGACCGCCAUGGUGCCGCCCUGGAGCCAAAGAGGCCGAAGCCCCCCAGCAACGCGAGAUUAUACGAGAGAGGUCCCCAAGAGAACUUUGGAUUCAAUACUGGCAAGUAACAUGCCCCAAAACACAGCAGUCUCAUAAAAGUGAUUCUGAUGACAAGCUACUGUGGCCGAAGACGAGGUAUCUCCUGACAUGCCUUGGAGUUUGCAAGCAAUUACGGGUGACAUCUAAAGCUUAAGCUAAAGAAAAGUUGAGCUAAAUCGGCUUGUUUUGUUCAAUAUCAACAUAAUUUCUUGACAGACUGAAGAUUCAAAUUCUAGUAUCACCAAUGACAGGCUCUCACUGUAAAUUCAUUUAUUAAUUCACAGAUGUUUAAAAAUAUAUCUGUAAGCCAGUAAUCAUGAACACCAAAUAUGCGAUGCGGGAACAUGAAAGAAAAAUACUCAGAUUUCAGUUAAAAACAAAAGUAAAUAAAAUGCUUUAAGUUGAUCAAAAUGCUCGUUUAAAUGAGAUAGCAUUAUAAAAUAUGAACCAAAAUGAAGUGAUUACUAUUUAACACAUGCUGCAGAAAUCUCCUCACCAAAUUAAGAGUCUCCUUCUGACAAAGAUAAAUCUCUAUUUCAAAAUUAAGUUGUUCAGUUUUUAAAAUGAGUAAACAGAAUGACUUGGGUAAUUAUAGGCCUGUCAGCCUGAUAUCAGUCCCAGGCAUGAUAAUGGAGAGGUUGAUAAGGGACUUGAUUAAUAAAGAAUUAAAGGAGGGUAAUAUAAUUAAUGCAAAUCAGCCUGGGUUUAUGGAAAAUAGAUCUUGUCAAACUAACUUGAUAUCUACUUUUGAUGAGAUUACGAGUUUGGUUGACAAAGGUAAUAGUGCUGAUAUAAUAUACUUACACUUGUGUAAGGUGUUUUACUUGGUAGUGCAUGGCAUUUUGAUUAAAAAAUUAGAAUGAUAUAAAAUUAACAUGUCACACAUUAAAGGGAUUAAAAACUGGAGAACUGAUAAGACUCAAAACGUAACUGUAAAUGAGGAAUCAUCAAUGUGUGGUUGUAUUUAUUUAUGUAUUUAUUUUACUAUAAUUGAACUCUAGUGUAGUGAUGUGUAAAGUAAAAUCUAAUAAAUUGGCGUACACAGUUCCUUUGAAAAUGGAGGAUCUGGGAUAUCUGUGAUCAGGGCUGGACACCAUCCAGGGACACUUUCAAGGGACCCAAGGGUUGGGAUACAUCUAUUGUCAACUGGAGAGGCAUAAGCCUCAUUUCCAUUCCACUUUCCUGAUAGUAAGGAGAGGGCAAGGACAUUGAAAACCCUGAGGUGUGAAGCUAAGCCCCAUAAACAAGGGUUAGGAACUGGACUGAAAAGCCUUCCUGCUGGGAGGCAAGGCAGGAAACUGGGUGUGCUACCCACUAGGCCACCUGGCCCUCCGAGGACUCGAUUAUAUCAACCUGCAGGGGCAAAGGUAAGGCUGGCAUAACUGAGAGGAGAGUGCUUGAGUGCUGAUAGGGUGGUUAUGUUCGGGAGCUGACACAAGUUAGCUCGCACAGUCAAGACUCAUGCUGUAAGCAGGAAGCAACAAAGUGACUCACAGCCCUGUGUGCCUUGAGAAGCGUCACAACCACUCACACCCAUUUACUUAGGCUUUGCCCAUGGAAAGAGCAUAUGAUCUGUGGAGGAUUAUGAAUAUUUGUUUUCUCAACUCUGUUUGCAGAACAGCAUUAUUGUAUGUGCACUGCAUUCAGUUUUCUCUAGCUCAUCUUGCAGACUGAGUUAAAAUGGAAUAUUGCACACUGGAUAGUCAGAGAUCAGUGAGGACUUGUGUGGUUUCCUGUUCCCAGAAGUAGCCACAGAAAGGAUGACUGUUUGCUCAUUGAUUUUAAUGGGAACUUCCAAUGCUCACAUACAAGGGGUUGAAUUUUGUCUUGGUGCAAUUUUAAGAAUCUCAGAGACUAACACAGCUGCAAGUGGCAGCCAAAAUCACUUUAGGGAGUGGUUGAUGAGCGCCUCAUGAACCAAAACACACAUGUAUUUACAUCAUUUACCACACUGCUUUUUUAUUUGUAUAUUUCAUUUGCAGUUCCUUUUCUGUUCAAUAAGAGGAAUGAUGGGUUGCAAUAUGGUCAAUGUUACAGACAAAAAUUGGGGUAAUUUGUGAGAUAGGCCUCAGUAGUGAUACAAGAGGUCUCUCACAGAAAAGUCUUCAAGAAUUCAAUAGAGAAUUAGAACCUUUCUACAGAAUUUCUAGAGCAACCUAUCAGGGCCACAAGCUCUGAAGUAAACUUGAUGUCCAGACAUCUUCUCAGAGGCUGUUAAAGGGCUUGGACCAUGGCAGUGGCUGCUUGUAUAUGAGCAUCCACAUCUUUCAAAAAAACUUCCUCCACCAACACGGUCUAUCGAGCUUCCAAAGUGUUUGACAGUUGCCACCUGCUUCAUAUCCCAUCUGGACAGGUUAACACUGAACAAUUGUAAUCUGGAGCCUGGAGGCUGCUUGAUGGUGAUGGUAAGGGACUUCAUUUUAUCUGUAUUAGUAACCAGACCAAUUGCACGCUGCUUCUUGCCUGACCAGACUGGCCAUCCGCUGAAGCAAUUCACCAGACUGACCCAACACAACAAUUCAGUCAAUUGUCCUUGAAGCUAAAAUGGCCAAAAGUUUGUGUCUACCAUUGAGGUGAAAAUGACCAAUCAAACCAAUGAAAUGUCAUUUAUUUUAAGACCAUGUCAUUGCUCAGGUAAAACUCUCAUUGGCCCCUUUGGAGUUUUGCCUGAGUCAGGACUUCAAGACUGGAAAGAGAUUUGAACAUUUGUUCCCCUGCUUCUCAGAAAAACAAAAUAAAAUCAGUCCCCUCUGACUGGAGGAAGUUAUGAAACAUAUUUUGGGAUUUUUUAAAAAAUCUAUGCAUAGACAGACAGACCACACCUACAUUUCUGAAAUGAGCA
Caretta caretta (loggerhead turtle) is the source of this 2937-nucleotide long non-coding RNA. RefSeq lists it as uncharacterized. Lineage: Eukaryota; Metazoa; Chordata; Testudines; Cheloniidae. The record is from RefSeq and is a predicted model, not a curated record.